GUCACAGAGCUGGUGCUCAGCCUAAGAGAAGAGUUGCCAAUGACUCAACGUGAGUUGAAAAGAUGGAGCUUCAUCAGCUGGAACUACAUCAGUGGAAACAACCUUGCUUUUCCAAAGGUGGUCUGAUGUUCAAACACUAACUCCAAUCCACUGCAUCUUGCAAAACUUCACAAGGUCAUGCUGAGGAGCAGAAAGGCUUUAAAUGAAUCCUGCACAGAAUUUUGUGGAAGUGACCACCAUCUUCAGAAUGUGCACAGAUGCAUAAGAUUGACGGAAGUGAGGCAACCUGUGAUUUGUCCUGGAGGUAUACUGAGAAAAAAAGACAGGAACACUGAACAAAUUUAUAUUGCAUUCUUUCAUUGAGGUACAUAUAACCAGAGGGAGAUGGCUACUUUCAAACUACAGAAGUAAGUAUGUUUAUUUUUUUUUUCUGCCAUAUGCUGUAAUUAAGAAAAACCUGUAUCUCCAGCCUUUUGAUGGAGAAAAGCCUUGCUGUUAAAUUAAAUGUCUGUUCCACUUUUUAGAGGAUCUGGACUACAUGACUGUGAUGCUUCUUCUAAAUUGGAGUAAAGAUGAUGCAUUUGUCUAGGGCAAUAAAACUGAAUCUUGCAGGUGAUUAUUUUAUUGG
Molecule: long non-coding RNA, 628 nt
Filed under: Anas platyrhynchos platyrhynchos (common mallard)
Lineage: Eukaryota; Metazoa; Chordata; Aves; Anseriformes; Anatidae
Description: lncRNA (ENSAPLG00000026970.1)
Source: RNAcentral